UACGGAGAGUUUGAUCCUGGCUCAGGAUGAACGCUGGCGGUAUGCCUUACACAUGCAAGUCGUACGAGAGUUUUUAACUCUAGUGGCGGACGGGUGAGUAACACGUAAGAAUUUACCUUUAGGAGGGGGACAACAACUGGAAACGGUUGCUAAUACCCCAUAUGCUUUCGAGUGAAACGGAUUUCCGCCUAAAGAGAAGCUUGCGGCUGAUUAGCUUGUUGGUGAGGUAAUGGCUCACCAAGGCGACGAUCAGUAGCUGGUCUGAGAGGAUGAUCAGCCACACUGGAACUGAGACACGGUCCAGACUCCUACGGGAGGCAGCAGCGG
This 327-nucleotide ribosomal RNA is filed under the name Aurantiochytrium limacinum. Its description in RNAcentral is "partial Bacterial small subunit ribosomal RNA". It matches the Rfam family "Bacterial small subunit ribosomal RNA", at positions 1 to 357 of the family's 1533-position model. The record is from RNAcentral. Lineage: Eukaryota; Bigyra; Thraustochytrida; Thraustochytriidae.